UGAGGUCUCGUUUGCUAAAUUU
This 22-nucleotide microRNA is filed under the name Tribolium castaneum (red flour beetle). RNAcentral describes it as "Tca-Mir-11636_5p (mature (co-guide))". The record is from RNAcentral. Lineage: Eukaryota; Metazoa; Arthropoda; Insecta; Coleoptera; Tenebrionidae.